Molecule: ribosomal RNA, 459 nt
Filed under: uncultured bacterium
Lineage: Bacteria
Description: partial 16S ribosomal RNA
Rfam family: Bacterial small subunit ribosomal RNA
Source: RNAcentral
CCUACGGGUGGCAGCAGUGAGGAAUAUUGGUCAAUGGGCGGAAGCCUGAACCAGCCAAGUAGCGUGCGGGAUGAAGGCGCUAAGGAUUGUAAACCGCUUUUGCAAGGGGAUAACAUCCUCCACUAGAGGAGGUCUGAAGGUACCGUGAGAAAAAGGGUCGGCUAAUUCCGUGCCAGCAGCCGCGGUAAUACGGAGGGCCCGAGCGUUAUCCGGAUUCAUUGGGCUUAAAGGGAGCGUAGGCGGGCGGUCAAGUCAGCGGUAAAAUCGCGCGGCUCAACCCCGCCCCGCAGUUGAAACUGGACGUCUUGAGUUCACAACAGGUAUGCGGAAUGCGUGGUGUAGCGGUGAAAUGCAUAGAUAUCGCGAGGAACCCCGAUUGCGAAGGCAGCCUGCCGGGGUGCGACUGACGCUGAGGCACGAAGGUGCGGGUAUCAAACAGGAUUAGAUACCCGAGUAGUC